UUUCUUCGUUUAUCCUUACAAAUUCUUUCCUUCUGCUUUCUUUGAUAAUUUCUUCUCAAUUUUUGAAUUGGACAUUUAAUUCACUUAUAUUUUGUAUUUUCUUUUUGAGCACUACCUUAAGUACAUUCCACAGAUAUUAUUAUACAGCAUUUUAUCUUUUCUUCGUUUUUAAAAUAUUCAGUAAUUUCGAUUUUGAGGCAGUUAAGAGGAGGAUUUUUUUCAUUGCACGUUUUUUACUAUUUGAAAAUGCUUUACCAUUUCCAAUGGUUCUCACUCCCAGCCCUUUAUCCAACGAUAGGCCGGGUCCCGGUUCUUUGCCUCAGGUGCUCUAAAGAACGAAGAUCCCGACUCCGGGCAGACGCCCCGCGGAGAAGGCGCAGGCCCUCUAGAGACUCGGAAGCAGGGACCUCUCCCCGCCUGCGCCAGAGGAUCUACCUUCGUCCGGGCUUUAGCGGUGACACCCCCUCCCGAAUGCCUCGCUACGAUUGGUCUGUUUUUCGGACCUGGACGGUGGCCAGAGGAGAACAAGAAGCUCGCGUUCAGCAUCAGCGAACGAAGCCAUGCAGUGGGCAACUUCGGAGGCUCAGCUUCGCAUCUGUAAGCAUCAGGCCUCCGGCGGCAUGGCGGCGGCCUCACCAUGUCGCAGUUGCAGGUGGCAACGUAGAGGAACCGGUUGCGGCGUCUCCCGAGCCUGCUGCCGCUGCCUGGAUCCAAAAGCUAAUUCUGGCACUUGAAGAUGAUAUGGGAGCGACUUAUGUCUGCAUUGUGAAAUUGGUGUUCUAA
RNAcentral lists this long non-coding RNA (783 nucleotides) under Ictidomys tridecemlineatus (thirteen-lined ground squirrel). RNAcentral describes it as "lncRNA (ENSSTOG00000034036.1)". The record is from RNAcentral. Lineage: Eukaryota; Metazoa; Chordata; Mammalia; Rodentia; Sciuridae.